RNAcentral lists this ribosomal RNA (1458 nucleotides) under Limosilactobacillus fermentum. RNAcentral's name for it is "bacterial SSU rRNA". It matches the Rfam family "Bacterial small subunit ribosomal RNA". The record is from RNAcentral. Lineage: Bacteria; Bacillati; Bacillota; Bacilli; Lactobacillales; Lactobacillaceae.
GCUAAUACAUGCAGUCGAACGCGUUGGCCCAAUUGAUUGAUGGUGCUUGCACCUGAUUGAUUUUGGUCGCCAACGAGUGGCGGACGGGUGAGUAACACGUAGGUAACCUGCCCAGAAGCGGGGGACAACAUUUGGAAACAGAUGCUAAUACCGCAUAACAGCGUUGUUCGCAUGAACAACGCUUAAAAGAUGGCUUCUCGCUAUCACUUCUGGAUGGACCUGCGGUGCAUUAGCUUGUUGGUGGGGUAACGGCCUACCAAGGCGAUGAUGCAUAGCCGAGUUGAGAGACUGAUCGGCCACAAUGGGACUGAGACACGGCCCAUACUCCUACGGGAGGCAGCAGUAGGGAAUCUUCCACAAUGGGCGCAAGCCUGAUGGAGCAACACCGCGUGAGUGAAGAAGGGUUUCGGCUCGUAAAGCUCUGUUGUUAAAGAAGAACACGUAUGAGAGUAACUGUUCAUACGUUGACGGUAUUUAACCAGAAAGUCACGGCUAACUACGUGCCAGCAGCCGCGGUAAUACGUAGGUGGCAAGCGUUAUCCGGAUUUAUUGGGCGUAAAGAGAGUGCAGGCGGUUUUCUAAGUCUGAUGUGAAAGCCUUCGGCUUAACCGGAGAAGUGCAUCGGAAACUGGAUAACUUGAGUGCAGAAGAGGGUAGUGGAACUCCAUGUGUAGCGGUGGAAUGCGUAGAUAUAUGGAAGAACACCAGUGGCGAAGGCGGCUACCUGGUCUGCAACUGACGCUGAGACUCGAAAGCAUGGGUAGCGAACAGGAUUAGAUACCCUGGUAGUCCAUGCCGUAAACGAUGAGUGCUAGGUGUUGGAGGGUUUCCGCCCUUCAGUGCCGGAGCUAACGCAUUAAGCACUCCGCCUGGGGAGUACGACCGCAAGGUUGAAACUCAAAGGAAUUGACGGGGGCCCGCACAAGCGGUGGAGCAUGUGGUUUAAUUCGAAGCUACGCGAAGAACCUUACCAGGUCUUGACAUCUUGCGCCAACCCUAGAGAUAGGGCGUUUCCUUCGGGAACGCAAUGACAGGUGGUGCAUGGUCGUCGUCAGCUCGUGUCGUGAGAUGUUGGGUUAAGUCCCGCAACGAGCGCAACCCUUGUUACUAGUUGCCAGCAUUAAGUUGGGCACUCUAGUGAGACUGCCGGUGACAAACCGGAGGAAGGUGGGGACGACGUCAGAUCAUCAUGCCCCUUAUGACCUGGGCUACACACGUGCUACAAUGGACGGUACAACGAGUCGCGAACUCGCGAGGGCAAGCAAAUCUCUUAAAACCGUUCUCAGUUCGGACUGCAGGCUGCAACUCGCCUGCACGAAGUCGGAAUCGCUAGUAAUCGCGGAUCAGCAUGCCGCGGUGAAUACGUUCCCGGGCCUUGUACACACCGCCCGUCACACCAUGAGAGUUUGUAACACCCAAAGUCGGUGGGGUAACCUUUAGGAGCCAGCCGCCUAAGUG